AACAACCUGGGCGAUGGGGUUCCGCCACUAACCGCACGCGCUGUAUGCGCGGAGCUGAUGACUCCUACGAGACA
Molecule: non-coding RNA, 74 nt
Filed under: Terriglobus saanensis SP1PR4
Lineage: Bacteria; Pseudomonadati; Acidobacteriota; Terriglobia; Terriglobales; Acidobacteriaceae
Also listed under: 1 other name
Description: Fluoride riboswitch aptamer (crcB RNA motif)
Rfam family: Fluoride riboswitch aptamer (crcB RNA motif)
Source: Rfam by way of RNAcentral